UCUCAGAUGGUCCAGUGGCUAAGAUUUCCGCCUGUCAAGCCACAAUUGGCUAGCGGCUCGCGGACGACCGGGGUUCGAUUCCCCGUCUGAGAG
This is a transfer RNA of 93 nucleotides. It matches the Rfam family "tRNA". Rfam says of the family: Transfer RNA (tRNA) molecules are approximately 80 nucleotides in length. Their secondary structure includes four short double-helical elements and three loops (D, anti-codon, and T loops). Further hydrogen bonds mediate the characteristic L-shaped molecular structure. tRNAs have two regions of fundamental functional importance: the anti-codon, which is responsible for specific mRNA codon recognition, and the 3' end, to which the tRNAs corresponding amino acid is attached (by aminoacyl-tRNA synthetases). tRNAs cope with the degeneracy of the genetic code in two manners: having more than one tRNA (with a specific anti-codon) for a particular amino acid; and 'wobble' base-pairing, i.e. permitting non-standard base-pairing at the 3rd anti-codon position.